AACGAACGCUGGCGGCAUGCCUAACACAUGCAAGUCGAACGAGACCUUCGGGUCUAGUGGCGCACGGGUGCGUAACGCGUGGGAACCUGCCCUUAGGUUCGGAAUAACUCCCCGAAAGGGGUGCUAAUACCGGAUAAUGUCUUCGGCCCAAAGAUUUAUCGCCCUUGGAUGGGCCCGCGUUGGAUUAGCUAGUUGGUAGGGUAAAAGCCUACCAAGGCGUCGAUCCAUAGCUGGUCUGAGAGGAUGAUCAGCCACACUGGGACUGAGACACGGCCCAGACUCCUACGGGAGGCAGCAGUGGGGAAUAUUGGACAAUGGGCGAAAGCCUGAUCCAGCAAUGCCGCGUGAGUGAUGAAGGUCUUAGGGUUGUAAAGCUCUUUUACCCGGGAUGAUAAUGACAGUACCGGGAGAAUAAGCUCCGGCUAACUCCGUG
RNAcentral lists this ribosomal RNA (433 nucleotides) under uncultured bacterium. RNAcentral's name for it is "partial 16S ribosomal RNA". It matches the Rfam family "Bacterial small subunit ribosomal RNA", at positions 29 to 507 of the family's 1533-position model. The record is from RNAcentral.